This 152-nucleotide ribosomal RNA is filed under the name Schistocephalus solidus. RNAcentral's name for it is "5.8S ribosomal RNA". It matches the Rfam family "5.8S ribosomal RNA". Rfam says of the family: 5.8S ribosomal RNA (5.8S rRNA) is a component of the large subunit of the eukaryotic ribosome. It is transcribed by RNA polymerase I as part of the 45S precursor that also contains 18S and 28S rRNA. Lineage: Eukaryota; Metazoa; Platyhelminthes; Cestoda; Diphyllobothriidea; Diphyllobothriidae. The record is from Rfam by way of RNAcentral.
AACUCUUGGCAGUGGCUCACUCGGCUCGUGUGUCGAUGCAGACCGCAGCCAACUGUUUGAAUAAAUGUGCAUCGGAACACGCUUAAAAUAUCCACUUUUGGAUGCAAAUUGCAGCCGUUAGCCUGUCUGUGGUUACGUCUGGCAAAGGAUCG